UCUCUCUCCAAACCCUAUUCAUUUCAUUCAGCCGCUCUUUCAUCCUCUCUCUGCAACCCUAAUCUUCUUCAUUCAACCCUCAUCUUCCUUGGUUCUCCUUCUCACUCUCUCUCUCUCUCAAACAGGGAAGAGGACUCAAACCGUAUACACAAAUCUCAGAACGAGUUAACCAGAUGAAGAUGGAGUGAGGAAGAUGAAGAUGACAAUACUUUGUAGAUCUGAGUUUUCUAGCUACAUUCAGUAGUUUUACAUUCAGAUCUGAGUCUUUUACAUUAAAAUCUGAUGGGUUUGCAUUCAGAUCUGACUGCUUCUACAGAUAAACUGAAAAUAAUGUUUUUGUGCAAGUGUGAAGUCACUUUGAACUGUUUAUCUUAUAAAUCUUGCCUUUUUUAUUUCCAAGAUUACACGGUAAGAUAAUGCACCAGGUGGGUGUGGAAGAUUUCACCAGAUCUGUUUGGAUUUUGCUCUCAUCGGCGACUGUAAAUGGUGGUUGUUUGGUUAAGCUAGCGAUUCCGACUACUUGACAAACUUUAAGGAAGCAAUCUGCUAAAGCUUUAUUUGAGCAUUUCACGAGGUUUCAUGGUUGAGGAGCGAAAGGAGCUCGCUUCACGAGUUGGAAACGAUCUUGGGAAUGUUUAUGUGUUUCCGAAAGCGAAUAUGGUUACAUAUACAGGACCCACAAUGGUGUCAAACACUCUUCACGCUUGUGCUAUACUUCUUAAGAAAUUUAAGGAUUGGGAUUGGUUUAUAAACCUAAGUGCCUCGGAUUAUCCUCUCGUGACUCAAGACGAUCUUCUUUUCACAUUUCGUGAUUUGAAGCGCGAUGUCAAUUUUAUCGAACACACGAGCAAGUUAGGGUGGAAAGAGUAAGCAUUCACACUUCUACCAUAAGAAACUUAUAAGUUAUAACCACUGUACCUGACCAGCAAGUUCAGUUGCUAUGUGUAAUGUGUUGAAUUGGCCCCUUUUUUGCGAGUGGCGGUUGAACUGGUGACCCGGUUUACUGGUUGGACCGGUUUUGAUUAGAUAAUAAGACCGGUUUGCAUAUGGGGUUGGGAUAAUCUUCCAAGAACUCUACUCAUGUACUACACAAACUUCGUCUCAUCACCCGAAGGUUACUUUCAAAUGGUUAUUUGCAAUGUACCUGAAUUCGUCCCAACCGUGGUUAACGACAACAUGCACUUUGUAUACUGGAGAAUCAUGCAGCUUGCUGCGCGCGCAGACUGACUCUAUCGAUCUUUAUCAAGUGCACUGGCCUGACCGUUAUGUUCCGAUGUUUGGGGAAACUGAUUAUGAUCCUGCCAGUCAAUAUUAUUUCAUACAAUUUCUAGGAAGAGUAGUUGAUGCUGAUUCAUUGGUGUCAGCAAUGAAACGCCAUACGGGGUCAUGAAGUUCCUACAAGCUGCUGAAAAGAAUCCGGCUUAUCCAAGGAUAAUAUCCGUUCAGUAUUGUAGAAUUCAUACAACUUGCUCUGUCGAAAUUUUGAUUCGGGGUUGGCAGAAUGCUGUCACUUGGAGAGGUAUGUUUGCAUACUGUAAAAUAUAGGGGCGACAAUCGUGGCCCAUUCUUCAAUGAAUUGUUUGCGUAUCUGUUACCUGACGGUGGUGCAGUCGAUGCUCGUUUGAAUCUCUUCAGAGGCAGGUAUUCGGAAGGGGAAUCCAGAUACAGCUUCUCAAAUUCACAAUUAGAGAAGCUAUUAAAGGAAUUCCAAUCUUUUUAUUACAUUACAUUACAUCUGAUGUAACAUACUAUAUGAUAUUGAGCUUAUAUGUUACAUUUGGUGGUUAAAUACAUAUCAGUUUCUUUUUUCUGUUGAUGGUCAAAUAUGUUGCAUUACUUUCUGAUCCAACAAAAUUCUGCAGGCAUACAUUUCCAUUGCAGAACGUUAUGAUAUCCAUCCGGGGUCUCUUGCAAUAGGUAUGCACUAGAAAAACUACUAAAGGGGUGCUUAUUUUAAAUGGAUGAGAAACUAUGCUUAUCUGCUUAAUUUUGAUGAGAGAAGUUGUCUUCGUGAUGUAUUUAAAGUUACAAGUUUAGCCUAAGCUCAAGCUUUAGUGUAGCUCGUUUCGAGCUCUAUGUCUAAAGCUUGAGCUCGGCUUGUUAAUAAAUAAAAAAAUAUACAAUUAUUUUAAAAAUGUAGCUUUAAGUUUAUAUUGAACUUCCUGGUUUGCUCUAACAUAUAUCAACAAGCUACCCAAACUGGUGUGCCGAUCUAUUUUCUGGCUUUAAUGGUAAUUUUCAAGGAAAAAGCUCACUCUUUUGUGACCAAAAAAUUGUUAUUUUAAUAUACUUGUAUAUCUUGUACUGUUAUGAAACCGAAAUCAGAUCUCAUAUGAGCUUUUUCAAGAGCUUCUUCUGAGCUUGUUUUUUUUAUCCAAAAUAUAGUUUCCACUCAUACCAAAUGUGAGGAUAAUGACUAUUGAAAGUCCAGCUUAUGGGUUAGGUUGGGUUGGGACUAACUAAAUAUAGAUUUUUUGGGAUUUUAAAAUUGGAAUUUGAAAGCCUCUUGUAACUAUGCAAAAAAUUAGGUCUCAUGAAGUGAUUUAGGUUCAAGCAUCUUUACAAUGUCUUCUUCUGUAAUGGGUUGAAAUUCAAAUACACUCAACCAACAAUUCAAUUUAGGGUGAAAUCAAAAGCUUUAUUAAUACUUCAGCAUAGAGGAAAUUACAGGAAGUUAAAAAUCAAUUAAGAUGGGAAAUUUAGAGAAGAUCGAGGUGAGAUGAGAGAGACCCUUCACACACAACUUUCAUAACCAACUUGAUACCUCCUUUCUUUAUUUAUCCUUCACGCUAUUGAUGCUCCCCUUAGAAUUAGUAAUCUGGUGUUGCAUAGACAUCAUGCCCUCAAUGAUUACAACAAGCUCGGAUGUCACAUCACGGCAUAUACACUAUUGGUAACACUAUUGGCUUGAAUCCCCUUGCAACUACGACUUGUAGGCAUUCACAGCUCUUAAUCAAUCCCAAAGCAACUUGUGAACAAUCCCGUCGUGGUAAGACGCCGUGUUUCUCAUUUCCAUGAGAGCACUGAUAAACUAACGAGUACCCCUUUGUAAAUUGUCGCUGUCGCCGCAUCGCGCGGGUUUCCUGAUAUAAUAUAACAUUACUAAACCUAAUAGUUUUAUCAAUCCAUUUCUGGUCUCAUACUCGAAUGCCCUAUCCAUUGCCUGUUUGGAUGUUUCAUGCUUCAGGUAUUUAGCAUCAAUAAACGUAAGAAAUUUAUUAACAUCUUACGUAAGACCAAACUUUUUUACAAUAUACAAUAUAUCACGAGAAAACUGAUAAAUUAACUGGAAAACGAGAACCGUCCCGUACAUAGCCCUAAACUCAUCAACCUAAGUGAUAUGUUUCCCGCUGCAUCGCGCGGGUAAACGACUAGUAUAUAUAUAUAUAUAUAUAUAUGUAUAUAUGUGUGUAGGGACAUGUGUUAGUAGAAGACUUCUCUCUCUCUCCUCUUUCAUACAUUCAUUGGGUAAAAAUGGAGGUGCAUGCAUCAACACAACUUCCAAUCUCUUCUAUAAAUCAAGAAAAUAAUUUGAGACAAUCAAUUCUCACACUCUCUCUCUUGUUCACGGCUGCACACACACUACGCACACCAAAAUUCGGAAUUUCAACCAAGUUCUUGCAUGUUCAUACUCAUUACAAGGUGUUUAUGAGUCCAAAUGGUGAUCUAGAAGUGAUUUCAAGGUGUUUCAAGCCACAAUCAAGUCCAAUAUCACCAAAUUUUACUAAAAAUCAUUUAAGAACUUGAAGGUACUUGAGUUCGGCUUCGGGAAUUAUGGCGUAUCUUGUGGAUGUUGAUGCAUGUUUUGUUACUUAAUAAUGUUGGACUAACUUUUAAAACUUCUGGGACGAAUGUA
Molecule: RNA transcript, 3856 nt
Organism: Helianthus annuus (common sunflower)
Lineage: Eukaryota; Viridiplantae; Streptophyta; Magnoliopsida; Asterales; Asteraceae
Gene name: protein tas-like
Exons: 9
Source: RefSeq, a predicted model, not a curated record